AAUAGCGUAUAUUAAAGUUGCUGCAGUUAGAACGCUCGUAGUCUGUGUGUGUGCAAGCUCCCAUCCUGUUUCGCUGUGUAAACUGUGUUCAGGAUGGGGGUUACACAUAGUGGCCGACUGCUGGCAACAGCUUUCGGACAUUUGUACCUUGAGAAAACUAGAGUGCUCUAAGCGGGUGAUUACUGAUAUAUUUUACCAUGGGAUCCAGUUAUGGGACAUGCUCUAUUGUGUGAGAGGCUUGUCCAUUGCAGAUCAAGAGGAGCUAUUGGGGACGUUCGGAUUUUGCAGUUAGAGGUGAAAUUCUUGGAUCUGCUUGAGUCGAGCAAGUGCGAAGGCAGCCGUCAAAGAUGCCUUCAUUGA
RNAcentral lists this ribosomal RNA (360 nucleotides) under uncultured eukaryote. Its description in RNAcentral is "partial 18S ribosomal RNA". It matches the Rfam family "Eukaryotic small subunit ribosomal RNA", at positions 593 to 976 of the family's 1831-position model. The record is from RNAcentral.